ACCUCUUUCGAUGGACUCCAAGCAUCUCUCCUUGAAAAAUAUGAACUGAUCAAGCUGCACAUCAAGCGAAAAUGUGGUUUCUCCCGGUGUUGCCGUCGAGCCGGCGAUGGCGAAAUUCACACCGUUGUUGUAAUCCGCUCCCAGUGGCCUCAUGAACGGGCUGAGGUGGUGAGUGUUCAAGCUCUCACCUG
Molecule: small RNA, 191 nt
Filed under: Oryza sativa Japonica Group (Japanese rice)
Lineage: Eukaryota; Viridiplantae; Streptophyta; Magnoliopsida; Poales; Poaceae
Description: sRNA Os05g0159400
Source: RNAcentral